CCUACGGGCGGCUGCAGUGGGGAAUAUUGGACAAUGGGGGCAACCCUGAUCCAGCCAUGCCGCGUGUGUGAAGAAGGCCCUCGGGUUGUAAAGCACUUUCAGUGAGGAAGAACGCCUGGUGGUUAAUACCCAUCAGGAAAGACAUCACUCACAGAAGAAGCACCGGCUAACUCCGUGCCAGCAGCCGCGGUAAUACGGAGGGUGCGAGCGUUAAUCGGAAUUACUGGGCGUAAAGCGCGCGUAGGUGGCUUGAUAAGCCGGUUGUGAAAGCCCCGGGCUCAACCUGGGAACGGCAUCCGGAACUGUCAAGCUAGAGUGCAGGAGAGGAAGGUAGAAUUCCCGGUGUAGCGGUGAAAUGCGUAGAGAUCGGGAGGAAUACCAGUGGCGAAGGCGGCCUUCUGGACUGAAACUGACACUGAGGUGCGAAAGCGUGGGUAGCAAACAGGAUUAGAUACCCCGGUGGUC
This 465-nucleotide ribosomal RNA is filed under the name Vreelandella stevensii. RNAcentral's name for it is "partial 16S ribosomal RNA". It matches the Rfam family "Bacterial small subunit ribosomal RNA", at positions 338 to 795 of the family's 1533-position model. The record is from RNAcentral. Lineage: Bacteria; Pseudomonadati; Pseudomonadota; Gammaproteobacteria; Oceanospirillales; Halomonadaceae.